Lotus japonicus is the source of this 540-nucleotide long non-coding RNA. RefSeq lists it as uncharacterized. Lineage: Eukaryota; Viridiplantae; Streptophyta; Magnoliopsida; Fabales; Fabaceae. The transcript is spliced from 3 exons. The record is from RefSeq and is a predicted model, not a curated record.
GCCCUCCAUCAUCCAUUUUAUUUUACUUUCUACAUUAUUAAUCAAAUCAAAAUCACAUUAACUAAUCCUUGAUGUGAAAUUGAGAAUAAAUUUAUGGAGUGAUAGUGAUUUUGGUCCAAGCGUGGAUCACUUCCGCCCCUGUACUUAAAAAAAUAGAAAAUUGAGAGCUUAUUCAAAGCCCUACUUUGAUAUCAUGAAGAAGGUCCUAGCUGGAACUAAAACUUGUAUUAUCCCCCCAAAAAUGGGGAACGUGUAUUGUGGCCUACAGGGUGGGGGAUGGCAAUCAGAUGAAUAUGUCCCAAUAUUAUAAACAGUGGAAUAUUAUGGUUCAUGCAAAGCAAAACAAAGUAAAGGUUCUGAGCAGAUGAAACUGUGUAAUUAGGAUGUGGGCUCCUAGGAUUGGUUCGUCAAAGGUCAACUGCAAUGGAUCAUCAAAUUUAAAGGUUCCUCUUUCUUUUAAUCUCAAAUCUUAUCCUUAAUUAGGAUGAGAAAUGUGAAAUGAAUCAAAUAAUAGUAUACAAGUUGAUUUUUUUUGGAAUU